GGGCGUUUAUGGUUGCUAAGCGGCGAUGCGUCGACAAUUCACGUUCUAAAAGAGUCCAGCUGCGCCACGAGAAAUAGUUCCUUUCCUUCCGACGGGAAAGAGUGAAAGAAGGGCGGCUCCGAGAUGAGACGCCGGUUCCCGGGGGAGUGUUAAGCCCUGCGAUUUAAGAAAGGUGCAGUAGUCCACGUCUGCUGCGGGCUCGCUGGUGGCUGACAAGACCAAUGCGGGACAGGCAGGUCCGGCCACAGUGGCUGCAGGGAAAAGUCUGAUUUGGGGUUGGUGCUGUAGCAGUCGAAAAAUGCUUUUGUCUCCGGGUCAGCAUCAAGCGACCAAUAUCCUGAACCGCCUACAUGCAGGAUCGGGACUGCAGCUUCCAGUGGCAUCUUCCACCUGCCGUUUCGCCCCUUGCCCAUCGCUGCAGGACUUGAACUUGGAAAAAGCAGCCAACGAAACAGGACCUUAGACUGUUUUUGCCUCUUGCUGCAUCAGUGGGAUGAACGGACUUGAAAAUACUUGGCUGUGAGAAGUGAAUUGGAAACAAGGAGAUCAGAUCGAACUGUAUGUAAAAACCAAUAACUGCAUCACAGUCUGGGAUUUCAUGUAUUUUCGAUAUCUAUGAGCAACUUGAGUUGCGCAGAUAAGAAGUCACAGUUGUGGAUUUAUAUAUGUAACUUUAUUAUUAAAACAACUUUCUAUUUGUUAA
This is a long non-coding RNA of Heteronotia binoei (common prickly gecko), 703 nucleotides long. RefSeq lists it as uncharacterized. The transcript has 3 exons. The record is from RefSeq and is a predicted model, not a curated record. Lineage: Eukaryota; Metazoa; Chordata; Lepidosauria; Squamata; Gekkonidae.